This 789-nucleotide ribosomal RNA is filed under the name uncultured bacterium. RNAcentral describes it as "bacterial SSU rRNA". It matches the Rfam family "Bacterial small subunit ribosomal RNA", at positions 1 to 803 of the family's 1533-position model. The record is from RNAcentral.
GAAUUCGCCCUUAGAGUUUGAUCCUGGCUCAGGAUGAACGCUGCCAGAAUGCUUAACACGUGCAAGUCGAUUCGAUUUACCUUCGGGUAUUGAGGAUGGCGGACGGGUGAGUAACGCGUAAGGAACUUGCCUCUUGGACUGGGACAACUGUUGGAAACGACAGCUAAUACCGGAUAUUAUGAGAUUCUCGCAUGAGAAACUUAUGAAAGCUAUAUGCGCCAAGAGAGAGCCUUGCGUUCCAUUAGCUAGUUGGUGGGGUAAUGGCCCACCAAGGCGACGAUGGAUAGCCGGCCUGAGAGGGUGAACGGCCACAAGGGGACUGAGACACGGCCCUUACUCCUACGGGAGGCAGCAGUGGGGAAUAUUGGACAAUGGGCCACAAGCCUGAUCCAGCAAUUCUGUGUGCACGAUGAAGGUCUUCGGAUUGUAAAGUGCUUUCAGUUGGGAAGAAGAAAGUGACGGUACCAACAGAAGAAGCGACGGCUAAAUACGUGCCAGCAGCCGCGGUAAUACGUAUGUCGCAAGCGUUAUCCGGAUUUAUUGGGCGUAAAGCGCGUCUAGGCGGAAAAAUAAGUCUGAUGUUAAAAUGCGGGGCUCAACUCCGUAUUGCGUUGGAAACUGUUUUUCUAGAGUACUGGAGAGGUGGGCGGAACUACAAGUGUAGAGGUGAAAUUCGUAGAUAUUUGUAGGAAUGCCGAUGGAGAAGUCAGCUCACUGGACAGAUACUGACGCUGAAGCGCGAAAGCGUGGGGAGCAAACAGGAUUACAUACCCUGGUAGUCCACGCCGU